Molecule: long non-coding RNA, 2625 nt
Organism: Hyla sarda
Lineage: Eukaryota; Metazoa; Chordata; Amphibia; Anura; Hylidae
Exons: 3
Source: RefSeq, a predicted model, not a curated record
UGAUGUUAUUUACAUGGGACUGUAUAUUGGUGGUAUAGGAGUGAUGUUAUUUACAUGGAACUGUAUAUUGGUGGUAGAGGAGUGAUGUUAUUUACAUGGGACUGUAUAUUGGUGGUAUGGGAAUGAUAUUUACAUGGGACUGUAUGUUGGUGGUAGAGGAGUGAUGUUAUUUACAUGGGACUGUAUAUUGGUGGUAUGGGAAUGAUGUUAUUUACAUGGGACUGUAUGUUGGUGGCAGAGGAGUGAUGUUAUUUACAUGGGACUGUAUGUUGGUGGCAGAGGAGUGAUGUUAUUUACAUGGGACUGUAUGUUGGUGGUAGAGGAGUGAUGUUAUUUACAUGGAACUGUAUAUUGGUGGUAUGGGAAUGAUGUUAUUUACAUGGGACUGUAUGCUGGUGGUAGAGGAGUGAUGUUAUUUACAUGGAACUGUAUAUUGGUGGUAUGGGAGUGAUGUUAUUUACAUGGGACUGUAUGUUGGUGGUAGAGGAGUGAUGUUAUUUACAUGGGACUGUAUAUUGGUGGUAUGGGAGUGAUGUUAUUUACAUGGAACUGUAUAUUGGUGGUAUGGGAAUUAUAUUAUUUACAUGGGACUGUAUGUUGGUGGUAGAGGAGUGAUGUUAUUUACAUGGGACUGUAUGUUGGUGGUAGAGGAGUGAUGUUAUUUACAUGGGAAAGGACUUAGGGGUGUGUGUGUGUGUGUGGGGGGGGGGUGUUCAGGGGAGCAUGAAGAGGACUUACAAGUCUAGGGGGAAGGGUGGGUGGAACAAAGGAAUCGGGAGGAAGAUUUAUAUUAUAUUCAGUGUACAGCGUAUAGCAGGGUUAUAUUUAGAGGCUACAGUGUGUGGCAGUAUUUUAAAAUGUUUACCUGUAUUAUAUUCAGGGGGUACAGUGUGUGGCAAUAAUAUAUUUAGAGGGUACAGUGUGUGGCAGUAUUAUGUUCAGGGGUACAGUGGUUGGCAGGACUAUAUUCAGGGGGUACAGUGGUUGGCAGGACUAUACUGAGAGGGUUCAGUGUGUGGCAGUAUUAUAUUCAGGGGCCCAGUGUGUUGCAGUAUUAUAUUCAGGGAUACAGUAUAUGGCACUAUUAUAUUCAGGGGUACAGUGGGUGGCAUUAUUAUAUACAGGAGGUAUGGUGUGUGGCAAUAAUAUAUUUAGAGAGUACAACAUGUGGCAGGGUUAUAUUUAGGGGGUACAGUGGUUGGCAGUAUUAAGGGGUACAGUAUUUGGCAGUAUUAUAUUCAGGGAGUACAGUGGUUGGCAGUAUUAUAUUCAGGGGGUACGGUGUGUGGUAAUAUAUUUAGAGGGUGCAGUGUGUGGCAGGGUUAUAUUCAGGAGGUACAGUGGUUGGCAGAAUUCAGGGGUACAGUUUUUGGCAGUAUUAUAUUCAGGGGUACAGUAUUUGGCAGUAUUAUAUUCAGGGGGUACAGUAUUUGGCAGAAAACUAAUGAUUAUUGUCUUCAUACAGAGGAUGAGGAUCUGCUGACAAAUUAAGGAACCAAUGAUGUCCGGGCGUUAGACUCUGCAGAGAAGAUGUAACGGGAAGAAGUCCUGGCGUCUGGACCAGAUGAGGAAGAAAAGGAAAGACAACAGAGAAGACGUCACUCAGGCCGGAAGAAGUGCAUACCUAUGCGUGAAACCGCAGUCACCUCUGAGUGCCCCAUGCCACCUUUGUCCACCGACCUGGAGGAGCAGCCCGAGAUGGGAGCCGUAUAACCAGAGCUGAAGCGGGAGCACCAGCUAACCAGGUGACCUGCAGCUUGACCUAUGGGCUCCUUGCUCAGCGCCCCUUUAUAAGGAAGGGAGGAGCUGCAAUCUGCCUCUUUUGCUCUUCUACCACACUUUCUGCUGAGGUCAAGUCCAGUCCAGAUGUCUCAGAUCCAGUGUCCAGAACAUCUGAAGGCCUCAAGCCUAACCAAAAAGCCACAUGUCAGUAAGUCAAGUCAUCUCUAUCUGCUGUCAUUAUCUUCAGUCAAGUCUAUUAUAGUCAGCGUGGUAGUCCUAAAGUCUGUCAAGUCCCAGCACACUGCAAGGUCCCCUCCGUGUUACUGGUCACCUCUGUGGCAUCCUGGCCUAGCUGUAAAGACUGUUACGAUCUGUUUACCUCAGUAAAGCUACCGUUAACCCUAACCUGGUCUUGGACUAUUAUUACCCUGCCGAACCUAGGGAUAGCAGAGCUACCUUUGGGUGGUUACUUAGGAAAACCACUCCCUGGCGUCACGAACAUUUUGCAGUUAAUAACAUCUCACCCCCCUGGCACACCACAUAUAUUUAUCAUUCUGCUCAGCUAAUCGUACUCUAUAACAUGGUGCAUGCAGUUGGACUGCAAUUGCAAUCUAAUGAAUUCCCUUUAAGUUGUAUUGAUGCAUCCCAAAAAUUAGUUUACAUCUACACUGCCCUUUUUUUCCGUCAAUGCUGGUCCAUUUUGAAAAAAUAAAAAAUCUAAUAUAAAAUGUAAAACUUUCUAUACUGUAAAAGUCUGCCAUCUUUCCUACAUCCUCACCUUAAGAGUAUAAUAGUGUAUUGAAUGGCUUCCUUUCAUGGGUUUGCAUUGCUCUCUUGUAGUUGCGUACAAAUUUACAAAGAAUUUGAACUGGAAAAAUUUAUUAUCUUUUUUUGGGGGGGGGA